This 1992-nucleotide ribosomal RNA is filed under the name human gut metagenome. RNAcentral's name for it is "bacterial LSU rRNA". It matches the Rfam family "Bacterial large subunit ribosomal RNA", at positions 1 to 1984 of the family's 2925-position model. The record is from RNAcentral.
UAAAGAUUUUAAGGGCGUACGGUGGAUGCCUUGGCUAUACUGGCCGAUGAAGGACGCGGUAAGCUGCGAUAAGCUACGGAGAGGUGCAAGCAACCUUUGACCCGUAGAUUUCCGAAUGGGGAAACCCGGCGGAAGUUAUGUUCCGUCACCCAUACCUUAGAGUAUGAGGAGGGCACCUGGGGAACUGAAACAUCUAAGUACCCAGAGGAAGAGUAAUCAAACGAGAUUCUCCUAGUAGCGGCGAGCGAACGGGGAAGAGCCCAAACCGGAUCGGGAAACCGGACCGGGGUUGAGGACUGUCAUCAAGUGUAAAUGAGAUAGAAGAAUUGUGCUGGAACGCACAGCCGUAGAAGGUGAAAGCCCUGUACUCGAAAUCUUGCAUGCAUGGGACAGUAUCCAGAGUACCACGAGACACGUGAAACCUUGUGGGAAGCAGGGGGGACCACCCUCCAAGGCAAAAUACCAGUAUGGACCGAUAGCGCAUAGUACCGUGAGGGAAAGGUGAAAAGCACCCCGGGAGGGGAGUGAAAGAGAACCUGAAACCGUAUGUCUACAAACAGUCGAAGCGCGUAUAAUUGCAGCGCAACGGCGUGCCUAUUGAAGAAUGAACCGGCGAGUUACUGUUACUAGCGAGGUUAAGUGGAAAACAUGGAGCCGAAGCGAAAGCGAGUCUGAAUAGGGCGAUUAGUUAGUGAUAGUAGACCCGAAACCGUAGUGAUCUAUCCAUGGCCAGGUUGAAGCACAGGUAAAAUUGUGUGGAGGACCGAACUCGUGAGCGUUGAAAAGCUUUGGGAUGAGCUGUGGAUAGGGGUGAAAUGCCAAUCGAACACGGAGAUAGCUGGUUCUCCCCGAAAUAGCUUUAGGGCUAGCCUCAUGGAGAGAGUAUAGGCGGUAGAGCACUGAUCGGGCUAGGGCCCAUACCGGGUACCGAACCUAGUCAAACUACGAAUGGCUAUACUUAUACAUGGGAGUCAGACUAUGAGUGAUAAGGCCCAUAGUCAAGAGGGAAACAGCCCAGACCACCAACUAAGGUCCCUAAUGCUGUACUAAGUGGCGAAGGAUGUGGAAUUUCUAAAACAACCAGGAUGUUGGCUUAGAAGCAGCCACCAUUCAAAGAGUGCGUAAUAGCUCACUGGUCGAGAGACUCUGCGCCGAAAAUGUCCGGGGCUAAAGUACAGAACCGAAGUUGUGGCAAAUGCAGUAAUGUAUUUGGGUAGGGGAGCGUUCUUAUUGGAUUGAAGCAGUACCGGAAGGAGCUGUGGACUGAUAAGAAGUGAGAAUGCCGGUAUGAGUAGCGAAAAGAAAGGUGAGAAUCCUUUCCACCGAAAGCCUAAGGGUUCCUGAGCAACGAUCGUCGACUCAGGGUAAGUCGGGACCUAAGCCGAGGCGGAAAAGCGUAGGCGAUGGACAACAGGUUGAAAUUCCUGUACUAGUAUGAAUUGUUUGAUCGAUGGAGUGACGCAGUAAGAUAGGUCAGCACGAGGAUGGAAAUUCGUGUUUAAGCGUGUAGGUGAAGUGGCAGGCAAAUCCACCAUUUCAAAAGCUGAGGCGUGAUGAGGAGUUACUAGAAAUAGUGACGAACUGAUUGAUUCUACACUGCCGAGAAAAGCUUCUAGGUAGAGACAUACUACCCGUACCGAAACCGACACAGGUGGGCGGGGAGAGAAUCCUAAGGUGCGCGGGAAAACCCUCGUUAAGGAACUCGGCAAAAUGCCUCCGUAACUUCGGGAAAAGGAGGACUCAUGUAGUGUGAAGAGCAGUAACGCUUGGAGCAUGAAUGAGUGGCACAAGAGAGGCGCAAGCGACUGUUUACCACAAACACAGGUGCCUGCUAAAGCGAAAGCUGAUGUAUAGGUGCUGACACCUGCCCGGUGCUGGAAGGUUAAGAGGAGGGGUUAGGAGUAAUCCGAAGCUCUGAAUUGAAGCCCCAGUAAACGGCGGCCGUAACUAUAACGGUCCUAAGGUAGCGAAAUUCCUUGUCGGGUAAGUUCC